CGUAAAAGGUCGAUUAGAGGUUGUGGUCUUGACCGUGGCUUCUGGAGCUAACGCGUUAAAUCGACCGCCUGGGGAGUACGGCCGCAAGGUUAAAACUCAAAUGAAUUGACGGGGGCCCGCACAAGCGGUGGAGCAUGUGGUUUAAUUCGAUGCAACGCGAAGAACCUUACCUACUCUUGACAUCCAGCGAAUCCUUUAGAGAUAGAGGAGUGCCUUCGGGAACGCUGAGACAGGUGCUGCAUGGCUGUCGUCAGCUCGUGUUGUGAAAUGUUGGGUUAAGUCCCGCAACGAGCGCAACCCUUAUCCUUUGUUGCCAGCACGUAAUGGUGGGAACUCAAAGGAGACUGCCGGUGAUAAACCGGAGGAAGGUGGGGAUGACGUCAAGUCAUCAUGGCCCUUACGAGUAGGGCUACACACGUGCUACAAUGGCAGAUACAAAGAGAAGCGACCUCGCGAGAGCAAGCGGAACUCAUAAAGUCUGUCGUAGUCCGGAUUGGAGUCUGCAACUCGACUCCAUGAAGUCGGAAUCGCUAGUAAUCGUAGAUCAGAAUGCUACGGUGAAUACGUUCCCGGGCCUUGUACACACCGCCCGUCACACCAUGGGAGUGGGUUGCAAAAGAAGUAGGUAGCUUAACCUUCGGGAGGGCGCUUACCACUUUGUGAUUCAUGACUGGGGUGAAGUCUACGGGGGACCCCCCCCAAAAAAUGGGGCCCCCCCCCGCGGUUUUCCGGGACUAAACCCCCCGUUUUCUGGCCCGGGGGCCCCCCCCUUCCCCGGGGGGGUUCUCCCUGCAAUACCUUGCUCCGAUUUUUCCGGCUCGUCCCCCGGGAAAAUUCACGCCCCCCCUGAAAAAAAAACUCUGUGCCAAGCCACGUUUUUGAGAGGCCCACUCCCCCAGCUUUAAGUCUCAGGGGGUCUUUCCCCCCCCAGAAAAUUAAAUCGAACCCCCCGGGGGGGGGCGCUUUUUUCCCCCCCCGGUAUUUUUCCAGAAUAAAGCGCGUGGGCCCCCCCCCCCGUUUUUUACCGGGGGGGGUGCGCGGGCGACCGCGAUGUUUUCCCCCGGGGGGUCUUUUUUUUUCGCGCGGGGGAAAACCCCCCACAUUAUGGUAGUGGGGGGGGUUUACAACCCCUUUUAAAUCCCCCCUCUCCCCCCGCCCCGCGCGAAAAAAAGAGGUUUUUUUUUUUACACCCCCCCCCCAGGAGGGGGGCUUUUUUUUUUUUUUAAACACCACCGCGGGGGCGCGUAGGGGGGUCCUCGGCACCACCGAGGGGGCGUUGUCGGGCGGCCCCCCCAUGGUGGGGGGGGAAAAAAAAAAUUACCCCCCCCCCCCCCCGGCGGUCGGUGCCCCCCCCCCCCCCCCCCCCAGGAAGAAAGAAAAAGGUGGGCGGGGGGGGCGGUCGGUGGCUGCCUGGCCCUCCCCCCCCCCCCCCCCGCCCGCCGGGAGGGGGGGGGGGGUGGGGAGGGCCCCCCUUUUCCCCCCCCCCCCCCUUUCCUUUACCAAAGGGAAAAGCCCAAAACCCAGGCCAAAGAAGGGAGGAAAUUGAAGGGGGUCCCCGGCCCCGGCCCGGCCGGAGGGGGGGGUGGGAAAGGGGGGGGCCCCGUACCCCUAACCCCCCCCCCCCCCCCCCCCCCUACCCCUCCCGCCAAGGGCCAAUUACCGGGACCCGCAACCCCGGGGGGGGGGGGGGUAGGGGUUGGGCCGCACCCCCUUGCCCCAAACGGGAAGGGCUAGGGGGGGGGCGGGGGGGAAGGCCAGGGCCAGGGGGCACAACGCCCCCCCGGGGCCGGCUUCGGGCCGGGCCGGGGCCGGGCCCGAGCAAACCGUAACAUGAAAUGGGAGGGGUCGGUGUCGGGAUCCGUUAAGGGGGGCCGGGUCCCCCCCGGCCCUUCCCCCGUGUUUCCGCGGUCAAACCCCCCCCCUCCCCCG
RNAcentral lists this ribosomal RNA (1929 nucleotides) under Proteus mirabilis. RNAcentral describes it as "bacterial SSU rRNA". The stretch from base 1 to 726 matches the Rfam family "Bacterial small subunit ribosomal RNA", at positions 801 to 1533 of the family's 1533-position model. The record is from RNAcentral. Lineage: Bacteria; Pseudomonadati; Pseudomonadota; Gammaproteobacteria; Enterobacterales; Morganellaceae.